This 253-nucleotide ribosomal RNA is filed under the name uncultured bacterium. RNAcentral's name for it is "partial 16S ribosomal RNA". It matches the Rfam family "Bacterial small subunit ribosomal RNA", at positions 524 to 776 of the family's 1533-position model. The record is from RNAcentral.
UACGUAGGUGGCAAGCGUUGUCCGGAUUUAUUGGGCUUAAAGGGUGCGUAGGCGGCUUUGUAAGUCAGUGGUGAAAUAUGGCAGCUCAACUGUCAAGGUGCCAUUGAUACUGCAGAGCUUGAGUACAGAUGAGGUAGGCGGAAUUGACGGUGUAGCGGUGAAAUGCUUAGAUAUCGUCAAGAACACCUAUAGCGAAGGCAGCUUACUAGGCUGUAACUGACGCUGAGGCACGAAAGUGUGGGGAUCAAACAGG